CACGCCGUAAACGAUGGGUACUAGGUGUAGGGGGUAUCGACCCCUUCUGUGCCGGAGUUAACACAAUAAGUACCCCGCCUGGGGAGUACGGCCGCAAGGUUGAAACUCAAAGGAAUUGACGGGGGCCCGCACAAGCGGUGGAGUAUGUGGUUUAAUUCGACGCAACGCGAAGAACCUUACCAGGAUUUGACAUCCCUUGACGAUGCAAGAGAUUGUAUCUGCAGUCUUCGGACUGCCAAGGAGACAGGUGG
Molecule: ribosomal RNA, 251 nt
Filed under: uncultured Bacillota bacterium
Lineage: Bacteria; Bacillati; Bacillota
Description: uncultured Firmicutes bacterium partial 16S ribosomal RNA
Rfam family: Bacterial small subunit ribosomal RNA
Source: RNAcentral